UCCCUGGUGGUCCAGUGGGUAGGACUUCAUGCUCCCAAUGCCAGGGGCCUAGGUUCAAUUCCUAGUUAGGGAA
Non-coding RNA from Dama dama (fallow deer), 73 nucleotides. NCBI's taxonomy places the organism in Eukaryota, Metazoa, Chordata, Mammalia, Artiodactyla, Cervidae. The record is from the annotation of a RefSeq genome assembly.